Molecule: long non-coding RNA, 1408 nt
Filed under: Struthio camelus australis
Lineage: Eukaryota; Metazoa; Chordata; Aves; Struthioniformes; Struthionidae
Description: lncRNA (ENSSCUG00000017127.1)
Source: RNAcentral
GGCUUCACGCAGCCCCGUCGGAUUCGCUUCGCUGUUGCUAGCUAGCGCUUUCUAGCGCCGUUUAAAAUAGAAUCAAGAAUGUUCCCUGCCGAUUUCCCCAGCAGCGCUUGCUGAGCCGUGCCAGGCACCGCGGCGCCCGUUCCUGCAACCUGCCUCCGUACGGGUACGGCACGUUAAAAGCUUUCUCCUUCCACGCAUAAAUUUUUGCGAGGUGGAGGUGGGGGGAGCAAGCCCAGCCGGCGUUUAUUCUCCCGGCUAACAGCAACUGCCGACCUGAACGAAUUCUGCCAUGGCCGAAAGCAGAGGAUGUUUGCAGCGCAGGGAGCUGAUUUGCUGACUUACCCUUCAUCUCUCGCAGGAACGCCAGGUGGGGAAGCCAGUCUUGCGCUCGGAGAAAGAAGCCCGAGGAGCCCGGCAGCAGCCACUGCGGAGCUUGCUCAGAAGUUCACUCCCUCUGUCACAGUGUAUGCAGUUUGCCAGGGUUGGGAAUUAUAGCAGGUGCCUGAACUAUUAAGGAGUGCAAAGGAAUGGGACACACAGGUAGUGAUCAAGUGCUCGCCUCUGCCAGUACGUCAGAGAGACUGCCCAGACCUGCAAAGGUGCCGCUUUUCAUGUUCACUCUCAAGGCUUCCCAUGUGAGUUUUCAACAUUUGGGCUACAGCUUGGACAGACAUUUUCUCCCUUGAUGCUACCUGGUUUACAUCACAGCACCUGGAUCCAAGACUGAAGAGUUUUAGGUGGAGAUAAGAAUCAGCCAGGAGGAGGAUUUUCCCAAUGCGCUAAAGAAAGAAAUAACGAAGAGGACUGGGGAUUUAAAGCCUCAUGUGCUUUGAAAGAACCCUGUAUCUCCUUUUAACCAGAGAAAUGAAGUUCAACUGCCAGAUGUGUGGACCAGGUAAGCAAGUACCUAAGCAUCUCGCUAUGCCUUUUGCCAAGACCCCACUGUGUUUCACAAACACCACAAGAUUUUGAGGUGGAGUCGAGCACUGUUUUGUAAGAGGAGAGACAAGAGGAUUGCCUGGCAGGUGUCUGAGCAGACCUCUGUUACAGCUCAGCCUAUGCUCUGAUUCCCAGGCCAGAUUUCUGCCACCUUCUCCAGCGAUCAUUAUUGCUCAUUUUGUAUCACUUCUAUGGACUACUCGAAAUUGCAAAUUUGCAAAUUAAUGCCUCAGAGUAGGUGUUAUGCCCCCCAAAAAAGAGAAUGAAGGCUGGUAUCUCUCAGUGUAACUUGCUCCCUAUGUAAACAGCCUUCUACUUUUGGCCCAUGUCUGAGUUCCUCUGGCCCAGAUCCCAGGGAGGUCUCUGAGCCCUGUAGUUUUCUGAGGUUCUGUAACCAGUGGUGGCAGGCUGCCCUUCUGCAGAGUUUCAUGGGGAAAAACACAGCAUAUUGCAUGGGGAGAAACACAGU